Molecule: long non-coding RNA, 1063 nt
Filed under: Arabidopsis thaliana (thale cress)
Lineage: Eukaryota; Viridiplantae; Streptophyta; Magnoliopsida; Brassicales; Brassicaceae
Description: long non-coding RNA (ATHA_LNC000029)
Source: RNAcentral
UAAUGUUCAUUGGUGAUUCAAUACAUUACAAUCAGUGGCAAUCCAUGGUUUGUAUGGUUCAAUCCGUGAUUCCCUCAGGCAAAAAGACCUUAAAACACACAGCACAAAUGUCCAUCUUCAACAUAGAGGUAUUAAAGACUAUCUUCUAUGCAAAAAGACAAUAAUCCAAGAAGCAAAAGAACUCCAAAUCUUACCUUCUCUACUAUUCUGAAUGUGUAGGAGUACAAUGCAACCAUAUCAUUUUACUGGGCACCUUUCCUAGUCGAAUCAAAUGCUGAUCCUCCAGACAAGAGAGACGGGAAGACCGAUCCAGUAAUCAUUCCUAAUUCAAUCUCGAAACACGGCGAGAACUGGAAAGACGCAGACUACCUCAUAUUCAACACCUACAUAUGGUGGACUAGACAUUCCACGAUCAAAGUUCUGUAAGUGAUAAACGAUCUCUCUACCAAGUUCCAAACUUUCAAAUUUGCCAAUCUUGAUGAAGUUUUCUACUUUGAUGCAUGAAGAAAACAAGAAUCUUUCAACAAAGGAGACUCAAAAGAGUACAAUGAAAUCGGAAUCUAUAUAGUAUACAAACAAGUGUUAUCAACAUGGACAAAAUGGCUAGAACAAAACAUCAACCCAAGUCAAACAUCUAUCUUCUUCAGCAGCAUGUCACCAACUCAUAUCAGGUACUAAAUCAUCAAACACCCAUAAAAAUCAAAACUUUACAGAGACUGAUCCUUUUCAGUUGCAAACAGAAGUUCAGAUUGGGGAUUCAAUGAAGGAAGCAAAUGUGAAAAAGAGACAGAACCAAUACUAAACAUGUCAAAACCAAUAAAUGUUGGAACAAAUCGAAGACUUUACGAAAUCGCACUGAAUGCGACCAAAUCUACAAAAGUGCCGAUUCAUUUCCUCAACAUAACGACUAUGUCAGAGUAUAGAAAAGAUGGGCAUACCUCAUUUUACGGUUCGAUAAAUGGGAAACUCAUGACGCCGGAGCAGAAGUUAGAUCCGAGAACUUUUGCUGAUUGUUAUCAUUGGUGUCUUCCGGGAUUGCCUGAUUCAUGGAACGAGUUGCUCU